RNAcentral lists this ribosomal RNA (578 nucleotides) under uncultured bacterium. RNAcentral describes it as "bacterial SSU rRNA". It matches the Rfam family "Bacterial small subunit ribosomal RNA", at positions 338 to 916 of the family's 1533-position model. The record is from RNAcentral.
CCUACGGGAGGCAGCAGUGAGGAAUAUUGGACAAUGGGCGCAAGCCUGAUCCAGCCAUGCCGCGUGCAGGAAGAAGCAUCUAUGGUGUGUAAACUGCUUUUGUACAGGAAGAAACACUCCCUCGUGAGGGAGCUUGACGGUACUGUAAGAAUAAGGACCGGCUAACUCCGUGCCAGCAGCCGCGGUAAUACGGAGGGUCCGAGCGUUAUCCGGAAUCAUUGGGUUUAAAGGGUCCGUAGGCGGUUUAAUAAGUCAGUGGUGAAAUCUGGUCGCUCAACGAUCAAACGGCCAUUGAUACUGUUAGACUUGAAUUAUAAGGAAGUAACUAGAAUAUGUAGUGUAGCGGUGAAAUGCUUAGAUAUUACAUGGAAUACCAAUUGCGAAGGCAGGUUACUACUUAUGGAUUGACGCUGAUGGACGAAAGCGUGGGGAGCGAACAGGAUUAGAUACCCUGGUAGUCCACGCCGCAAACGAUGGAUACUAGCUGUUCGGAGCAAUCUGAGUGGCUAAGCGAAAAGUGAUAAGUAUCCCACCUGGGGAGUACGUUCGCAAGAAUGAAACUCAAAGGAAAUUGACGG